Rhipicephalus microplus (southern cattle tick) is the source of this 293-nucleotide long non-coding RNA. Lineage: Eukaryota; Metazoa; Arthropoda; Arachnida; Ixodida; Ixodidae. The record is from RefSeq and is a predicted model, not a curated record.
AUCGCCUUUCAGGCUACCGUGCCCAAGACGAUGCGGAUCAAGUUGCAACCGCCGUAAGCGACUGAGCUUCCACCUCACAACGCCAUCCUGCCGGCUGCUGCCAUCACCCAGGUCAUGCUGAUUGCCAACCCUGCCAAAGACCACGUACGCCUGAAAUACAAGCUGAGCUACGCCAUCGAGGAGGAGAACCACACACAUUCCGGCGAAGUGGAUUGCCCCAUCGACACAGCCCCUGCUGCCACCUCAUGAUCACAACAGCCACCCGGCAAGAAGACCCGAGGACACCACCACCG